AGUAACACGUGGAUAACCUACCUAUAAGACUGGGAUAACUUCGGGAAACCGGAGCUAAUACCGGAUAAUAUUUUGAACCGCAUGGUUCAAAAGUGAAAGACGGUCUUGCUGUCACUUAUAGAUGGAUCCGCGCUGCAUUAGCUAGUUGGUAAGGUAACGGCUUACCGAGGCAACGAUGCAUAGCCGACCUGAGAGGGUGAUCGGCCACACUGGAACUGAGACACGGUCCAG
This 231-nucleotide ribosomal RNA is filed under the name uncultured Staphylococcus sp. RNAcentral describes it as "partial 16S ribosomal RNA". It matches the Rfam family "Bacterial small subunit ribosomal RNA", at positions 109 to 334 of the family's 1533-position model. The record is from RNAcentral. Lineage: Bacteria; Bacillati; Bacillota; Bacilli; Caryophanales; Staphylococcaceae.